GGAGGAUUGGCCGAGUGGUAAGGCACCGGCUUGCUAAGCCGUGGUCGGGCCUGGAAAGCCCGCGCACGUUCGAUUCGUGCAUCCUCCGCAA
This 91-nucleotide transfer RNA is filed under the name Streptomyces pseudovenezuelae. Its description in RNAcentral is "tRNA-Ser". It matches the Rfam family "tRNA". From Rfam's summary of the family: Transfer RNA (tRNA) molecules are approximately 80 nucleotides in length. Their secondary structure includes four short double-helical elements and three loops (D, anti-codon, and T loops). The record is from RNAcentral. Lineage: Bacteria; Bacillati; Actinomycetota; Actinomycetes; Kitasatosporales; Streptomycetaceae.